This 283-nucleotide long non-coding RNA is filed under the name Olea europaea subsp. europaea. It matches the Rfam family "Bacterial small subunit ribosomal RNA", at positions 1218 to 1500 of the family's 1533-position model. Lineage: Eukaryota; Viridiplantae; Streptophyta; Magnoliopsida; Lamiales; Oleaceae. The record is from RNAcentral.
AUUCGUGUUACAGUAGCCGGGAUAAAGGGUCACGAUCCCACGAGUUUGAACUAAUUCCAAAAUCCCAUCCUCAAUUCAAAUUGCAGGCUGCAACUCGCCUGCAUGAAGUCGAAAUUGUUAGUAAUCACCGAUCAACCAUACGGUGGUGAAUUCGUUCCUCAACUUUAUACACUCCAUCCGUCACACUACAGGAGCUAGCCCUGUCCAAAGUCUUUACUUUAAUCGCAAGGAGGGGGAUGUCGAAAGCAAGGCUACUAACUGAAGUGAAGUCUACUAGUGUCAU